This 227-nucleotide ribosomal RNA is filed under the name uncultured bacterium. RNAcentral describes it as "partial 16S ribosomal RNA". It matches the Rfam family "Bacterial small subunit ribosomal RNA", at positions 109 to 334 of the family's 1533-position model. The record is from RNAcentral.
CGUAACACGUGAGGAACAUGACCUUCGGCGGGGGAUAGCCGGCCCAACGGCCGGGUAAUACCGCGUACGACCAUUUGGGGACAUCCCUAGGUGGUGAAAGCAGCAAUGCGCCGAUGGAGUGCCUCGCGGCCUAUCAGCUAGUUGGUGGGGUAACGGCUCACCAAGGCAACGACGGGUAGCUGGUCUGAGAGGAUGGCCAGCCACAUUGGGACUGAGACACGGCCCAA